AAACUCCACUAAAAUCAUACAUGAAAAACUCUACGUACUAAAUAAAUACAGCUUUUUUUGAAGUAAAUUUCAGUUCAGAUUAACAACUGGAAAAAUCUUGAAGUAACUAGAAAUCGAAUAGAAUAAUAAUAAAAUAAAGGGAAUGUGACACUAUGAGGCACUUUUAAGAAAUGUUUUUCCGUUUUAGACACUUUUAAGAGUUUAGGCACUUUAUCUUGUUUUUGGUGAGAAAAUAGACAAAAUUACCCUUGAGAUUUUGUCUCUCUCUUUUUCGUAUCCAUUCUCUCUCUUUCUCUCGCUUUAUCAAAAAUAAAAAAUCAAGAAAACAAAUCUUCAAAAUUUACAUUUUUUUUACGCCAUUAAAGAGAGAAAAAAGUUGUUGAACGUUUGCAAAGAAGAAAUCAUCAACUUCUUUCUUUCUUCCUUCUUCAACAAAUCAUCAGCUUUCUACAAAAAGAGAGAUUGAUUGAACAAUCAGAUUCAACUUUAUUUUUCCAGUUAAUCGGAUCUCCCGAUUUCUCCGUGUCUGCUUUGAUUAAGGAGAAUUUUUCAGAUCACCAACUUCAGAAUAUGAAUCUGAUUUUUAUAAGAGAGGAUCUGUUGGAUUUAAAGAACUGCCAUGGUAAUAUCAUCACAUAUUCACAUCCUCUUCGUUUUUCUAUCGUUUUCUGUUUUUGCUCUUAAAUAAUUUAUUUUUCGAUUUCAUGAACCACCAGGUUGUGAAUAAACCAAAUUGGCCAAUUCCAGUAUUGAAUUUUAUAUCCAUUUGAUCAGCUUGUUUGGUAUCAUAUGAUUUUGGCUCGAUAAAUUGAUAAUAUCGUUGAACUUCUAAGUUAAGAGUAUUUUACUUUGCAUACGAGAAUCAAUUAUUUCCACAUGGUCACGUCUAAGUGGACAUGUUAUUAUCAAAGCUUCCAACACGAUUUCAUUAUGUAGAAACUAAUAAUCAUAUAGGUCUCCAAAACACAAGAACAAUCUGUAGACAUUACUUUCAAACAUCAACACGCUAAAUCCAAGUAGAUAAUGAUAGUUUGUGUCCAUGAUAACUCAUCCACUUAAACUUGACCAUAUGGAGUAAUGGUGAAACAUGACAAACACUUGAACACAAAUGAUUCAUGUUUAGAGCUUUCAUCAAUUAUAAUUUGAAUGAAUAAGAGUAUCAUUGGUGAUGCAAGAAUCACAACUUGGUCAAAACAAAUCAUACCAACACACAAAAGUUCAUACAUCAAUGAAUAUCACCAAUUUCACGAGUAGCGUCCAUUUUUUGUUGACCACUAGUUCACUUGUUUAUAGACACUCUCAUCGUUAUGUGGGUUGAUCACUUGUUUAUAGACACAUAUGCUGCAAACAAAAUACGUGGUUGUCCAUUACGGAUUGUCCAAAUGUUGUAGUCCAAUAGAGAACAUCAAGUACUGAAUUUCAAACAAACGGGGCAGAGAAGUUAUCUAACAUUAUCAUAGAAUUAUGAACAAGAUCACCAAACACUUGGAAGCUUUUAGUAAACCAAACCAUUAAUCUUUAGUUUUAUAGGAGAAAUAACCACACAAAAAUCAAGGGAUGCACUUCACUCCUCCAUAUCAAACCUAAAGAGAUAAAUGUGUCUCAAUCAAAUACUAUAUAUGUGUAAAUUGACGCUAAUACUCUCCACUAGCAAAAUCAAAGUCUGAAUAAAUCGUUCAAAUCAAUCUAAUUUCAUCAUAAGAGUUAAGGUUAGUUUAUACCUUCAAUUCCAAACAAUUUCAAUUCCACAAUCAAUCAAAUCCACAAUCUCACAACAAUUUUUCAAAUUUCUGCAACAUUGAAACUUCCUGCAUCUCGUCACAUCAAACUUUCCACUAUACCGAUUCUAGAAACUUCCAAUAACAUCAAAACCAGACUAUGACACCUCAAAAACACGAAGAAUCACGAAGCAAGACAAAAGUAAACAUGAAUGGAGAUGAGUAAACUCAAAUCACCUUGAGUUUAUGAACGACGACGACGUCAGAAGCGCCGGUGAUGUUGAUCAAGCGGUCGAUAACGUUCUAACUCAUGUCGCCAUAAGAAAGAAGAUAUGAAGAAUCAAUUUGAGCGAGAAGCUUGGUUCACAACAAUUGAUUGAUUGUGAAAUUUUGUUUUUGGAGUGAGGAAGGAGAAAAGAAAAAAGAUUUUGUUUUGUUGUUGUGAAAUUACCGUGAACCGAUGGAUUGAAUUGGGGGAGAUGGAUUGAAUUGGAGGGGGGGAAGAGAGAGAGAGAUGAAUUGUAUCGAGAAAGAGAGAGAAUUAUAAUAAGAAGAAUUGUUAGCGUAAAUGUAGGAGAGAUAUAGUUAAAGGGCAAAUCGAGAAUUUUGUCUAACAAAAGUGUCUCAUAACUUAAAAAUGCCUAAAUCGACAAAUAACUUUUUAAAAGUGUCUCACAAUAUAAUAUUCUCUAAAAUAAAUUAUAAUAACUUGUAAGUUUGUAAUUAACCAUCGCCCAAAUAUGAUAACUAUCAUCAGUAACGUUUUGUUCCAAACAAAUUGCCUUUAUUA
This 2508-nucleotide small RNA is filed under the name Arabidopsis thaliana (thale cress). RNAcentral describes it as "ATSL187390". The record is from RNAcentral. Lineage: Eukaryota; Viridiplantae; Streptophyta; Magnoliopsida; Brassicales; Brassicaceae.